GCUGUUUUGUUCACUAGCAUCAACCCCAAAGUAGUUGGAGGUAAGGAAAAUACUUUUUCCUUAUGUGUCCCACGUUUAGACAAGACUUAUUGCGCACAAAAAGGAGAAAAACAGUUGCCAUAAUGAAGAAGCAGAACCACCAUGCAAGUUAAGCUCUUCCAUUUACUAUGGAGGCCAAGAAAAAAGUUCUUCUACGAUGACUACCACCAAAGAUACUGUAAGUCGUAGUCUCACC
Molecule: long non-coding RNA, 235 nt
Filed under: Brassica rapa (field mustard)
Lineage: Eukaryota; Viridiplantae; Streptophyta; Magnoliopsida; Brassicales; Brassicaceae
Description: long non-coding RNA (BRAP_LNC005292)
Source: RNAcentral